RNAcentral lists this ribosomal RNA (253 nucleotides) under uncultured bacterium. RNAcentral describes it as "partial 16S ribosomal RNA". It matches the Rfam family "Bacterial small subunit ribosomal RNA", at positions 524 to 776 of the family's 1533-position model. The record is from RNAcentral.
UACGUAGGGUGCGAGCGUUAAUCGGAAUUACUGGGCGUAAAGCGUGCGCAGGCGGUCGUUCAAGUCGAGUGUGAAAGCCCCCGGCUCAACUGGGGAGGGUCAUUCGAUACUGAUCGACUGGAAGGCAGGAGAGGGAAGCGGAAUUCCCGGUGUAGUGGUGAAAUGCGUAGAUAUCGGGAGGAACACCAGUGGCGAAGGCGGCUUCCUGGCCUGUUCUUGACGCUGAGGCGCGAAAGCUAGGGGAGCAAACGGG